This 876-nucleotide ribosomal RNA is filed under the name uncultured fungus. RNAcentral's name for it is "eukaryotic LSU rRNA". The stretch from base 399 to 552 matches the Rfam family "5.8S ribosomal RNA". Lineage: Eukaryota; Fungi. The record is from RNAcentral.
CACCUGUUUUCACCCUCUCCCUUUGAGCAGAGAAUGAGUUGGUUUCACGUUGACGUAGAGGUGUUGUUUGGGACGUUUCGGCGUCGACCUCUGCCAACUAUUUGCUUUGUGGAUAAAAGAGAGAAUUUAUUCUCUUUUCUAUCUCCAAACGCAGACGACUGUAUCUUCUUGCUUUAUGAAAGGCAAAAAAUCGUGUCUUGUCUUAUCAGUACCUUCAGCCUUGAUCCCCGAACAAGAUCGUGGGCUGCUGGUUAUUGUGACGAGACCAAACUUACAAAUUAACCUAUUUCACCAACCCCCCCUUUUUGCUAGUUGACUUUUUAUAUGUUGUUCUAUUUUUCGGACCUUGUGUCUGAAGAGCAGUUCACACGUUUAUUUACUUGAACGUUAAAAAAUACAACUCUUAGCAAUGGAUAUCUUGGUUCUCGCAACGAUGAAGAACGCAGCGAAAUGCGAUACGUAAUGCGAAUUGCAGAAUUCAGUGAAUCAUCAAAUCUUUGAACGCAAAUUGCGCUCUUGGGUAGCCCUAGGAGCACGCCUCUCUCAGUAUCGGUUCAACAAUCUCUCAGCAGCGUGUUUGGAAUUUUAAAUAUUUAUAUUUGAAACUCUGAGCGCGUGUUGGCUGGAUAAUGAGAGUCUGAGCAUUUUUCCUUGAUUGGAAAUGAGUUCAGUCUCUUGAAAUACAUGGAGUAAACAUGACUAGCGAUCAGUUCUAUUGAAAUGAUUUUAUUAUUAUUUUUAGUAGAUAGUCAGCUUCUGGCUGUCGAUUCGAUUAGUGACGUGAAUAUUGGCCUUUAUUGGUCUCUAUCUUUUACGUUUAUCUAAUUAAAUUGACACUCAAGCCUUUAGCUUUGUACGAACGUUCGAUUUUAGUGC